AGCAGUUUAUUCUAAACAGUGGAAGCACAAAAAUGUUCAGACUCUUUGGUCUUCUCAUUUUCAUUAACACUGCACUGACUACAGAUGUUGUUCAGCCCAGUCACCUGAUGAGGGUUCAGCUUGGAGACAGUGUGACCCUGACAUGCUUCUGUCAAGGAGAAACAACUUUUGUUACUUUGUUUAAGCAAGCUGUUGGUCGGAAGCCCCAGCCCAUGGCGAAAGCACUUCUCUACGUACCUGGUGAAUUUUACAAGGAAUAUAAAAGCAUAAAACGUUACUCCUUACUGAAUGCAGAGGGGAGUUUUAACCUCACUAUUUCUAACGUGGAGCCGUCAGAUUCUGCAGUGUAUUAUUGUGCUGCUGUGUUUCUUCAUGAGGUCACCUUCGGGAAUGGAACCUUUGUCAUAAUCACAGGUAAAGACUCCAACAGCAGGACUGUGGUACAGCAGCCUGUGUCUGACACAUUGCAGCCAGGAGACUCUGUGAGCCUGCAGUGUACGAUAGAGACUGGGAGCUGUGCAGGAGAACACAGUGUUUACUGGUUCAGACAUGGAUCAGGAGAAUCCCUUCCUGGAGUCAUUUACAGCCAUGGAAACAGCAGUGAUGAGUGUGAGAAGAGCCCUGAGGCUGGAUCUCCUACACGGAGCUGCGUCUACAGCCUCCCCAAGGGGAACCUCAGCCUCUCCGAUGCUGGGACUUACUACUGCGCUGUGGCCAUGUGUGGGGAGAUGCUGUUUGGGAACGGCACAUAGCUGGAUAUAGAUGGUAACACCCAGUGUGGGGAGAUGCUGUUUGGGAACGGCACACAGCUGGAUAUAGAUGGUAGCACCCAGUGUGGAGAGUAUAUCUGCUUCAAAGUUUUAUUUAGCUUAUUCUGCUAUUAAGACAUUUAUUUCUUUUUUUAAUGUAAUGAAUUUUCUAAUUUAAGUGCUUAAAUUAAAUUACACAGAUGUUAAUUUAAUAAUUAUCCAUCCAUCCAUCCAUUUUCCAAACCGCUUAUCCUAUUGGGUCGCGGGGGGUCCGGAGCCUAAUUUAAUAAUUAUUUCAAAUAUUAAUAUCCAUCCAUCCAUCCAUUUUCCAAACCGCUUAUCCUAUUGGGUCGCGGGGGGUCCGGAGCCUAAUUUAAUAAUUAUUUCAAAUAUUAAUAUAAAUUGUUAAAAUGCAAAAUACUAGAAGUUCAUGUUAAAAAUGGACUAUUUACAAAACAACUGCUGUAAUGUGUUAUCGAUUUGAUCUUUAACUAAUGUAAUGUAAGCAAAUGGGAAAUGUGUCUCUAUAUCAUUAUGCUGAAAUCUAUCUCUUUGUUACAGGCUUUCAGAAGCUGCUGGAUCCUCUUCACUCUGGCUUGCUGAUAGUUUUAUCUUGCAGCAUUAUUCUGAACGUUGCUCUCAUUUGUAUAAGAUGUAAACUGACCUGUACACACUGUGCAGAUGAAAAGAACAGUGAUAUAUCAAAAGUGGAAUGGUCACGCAAGCAAUGCCAUGACGAGGACACACUGAAUUACGCUGCCCUGAACCUUAAGAAGCCAAAACCCAGGAGACAGAAGAAAGACGGGAAUAAUGACACUCUGUAUUCUGACCUCCGCUACAGAGAUUAUGAAUAAAGAUGCUUCUCAUUCAUGUCAGUCACACAGAGUGUUCAGGGUGUAGCUUUAAUAAUGUUCAGAGGAGGGCAGGGGAGCCAGUGCUUCUGAGACUGAAUCACGGGAUUUUACGGAGCACCGGUGCUGAGUUUGGUGUCAGUGUGUUUGGGGCGCAUUUUUACUGGAAGUGCAAAUGUUCAAGCCAGACUGGGGGCUGAG
Long non-coding RNA from Brienomyrus brachyistius, 1801 nucleotides. RefSeq lists it as uncharacterized. The transcript is spliced from 5 exons. NCBI's taxonomy places the organism in Eukaryota, Metazoa, Chordata, Actinopteri, Osteoglossiformes, Mormyridae. The record is from RefSeq and is a predicted model, not a curated record.